This 255-nucleotide ribosomal RNA is filed under the name Entamoeba bangladeshi. Its description in RNAcentral is "partial 18S ribosomal RNA". It matches the Rfam family "Eukaryotic small subunit ribosomal RNA", at positions 1010 to 1219 of the family's 1831-position model. Lineage: Eukaryota; Evosea; Mastigamoebida; Endamoebidae. The record is from RNAcentral.
AGAUACCGUCGUAGUCCUAACUAUAAACGAUGUCAACCAAGGAUUGGAUGAAAUUCAGAUAUAUUUUGAUGAAAAAACAUUGUUUUUGAUUUAAAAUGUAUCAAUACUACCUUGUUCAGAACUUAAAGAGAAAUCUUGAGUUUAUGGACUUCAGGGGGAGUAUGGUCACAAGGCUGAAACUUAAAGGAAUUGACGGAAGGGCACACCAGGAGUGGAGCCUGCGGCUUAAUUUGACUCAACACGGGAAAACUUACA